UACGGAGGGUGCAAGCGUUGUCCGGAUUUAUUGGGUUUAAAGGGUGCGUAGGCGGAUUGAUAAGUCAGUGGUGAAAGGCAGCGGCUCAACCGUUGAGUUGCCAUUGAUACUGUGAGUCUUGAGUGCACUAGAGGUAAGCGGAAUUUAUGGUGUAGCGGUGAAAUGCAUAGAUACCAUAAAGAACACCAAUAGCGAAGGCAGCUUACUAGAGUGUAACUGACGCUGAGGCACGAAAGCGUGGGGAGCAAACAGGAUUAGAUACCCCUGUAGUCC
Molecule: ribosomal RNA, 273 nt
Filed under: uncultured bacterium
Lineage: Bacteria
Description: partial 16S ribosomal RNA
Rfam family: Bacterial small subunit ribosomal RNA
Source: RNAcentral